Small nucleolar RNA from Beta vulgaris subsp. vulgaris (sugar beet), 83 nucleotides. It matches the Rfam family "Small nucleolar RNA SNORD34". From Rfam's summary of the family: snoRNA U34 is found in intron 5 of the ribosomal protein L13a gene in humans. U34 is a member of the C/D class of snoRNA which contain C (UGAUGA) and D (CUGA) box motifs, and functions in directing site-specific 2'-O-methylation of 25S rRNAs. Although the selection of the target nucleotide requires the antisense element and the conserved box D or D' of the snoRNA, the methyltransferase activity is thought to reside in one of the protein components. The record is from Rfam. NCBI's taxonomy places the organism in Eukaryota, Viridiplantae, Streptophyta, Magnoliopsida, Caryophyllales, Amaranthaceae.
GGGGCCUGUGAUGAUCUUUCAUAUUAUGCCUACAUUGUUUGACUUGACAAUGAUAAGAUAUAUAUUUUGUGUCUGAGGCCUCC